AGAGAAAUAAAUAAUAACUUAAAAACAAUCAUAACCAAAAAUAUAUUUAAAAAAUACAAAAUUCCAAAUCCGGAGAGCUGAGAAACGGCAUCUCGUCGCUGCGAGAUCUCAUCGCGUCGCGUAACUUGGCUUGAUUGAUCGGACCGGACAGGACCGGUUCGCCCUAUUUCUCGUUUCUCCAGCCUUACAUCCCAGCGAGACGGAGACGGAGACGGAGAAGGAGGCGGCGAUAAUGGGUUCGCCGGUGGUGUAGAUGGGAUCAGAGUUAGAGCUGUACGCUAUGCCGGCCGUCGCUGUCGGGUUUGUGAAGAAGGCGAUGUCGGAGAGCAGGGAGAAAGGGCGGCAGGUGUCGCGGCUGGAGGAGUCCAUCAAGAGUUUGGAGGAGGAGAAGCGCAAGAUCGAAGCUUACAAGCACGAGCUCUCUCUCUCUCUCUGCAUGCGUCUCGUCUGCGAGGGUCGGCCCGAUGCUCCUCCCUUCUGUCCUUCCCUCAUUUGAUUUCGCUAGGAUCCUUUUAGGUUAAAAUUAGUGUUCUUUUGUUUGGGAAUUUCGAUCGCGGUGAUCGAGGAGUUGAAGAGGGAGAUCGAUCGGUUCCGCGCGGAGGGUUUCGGGCGUAUGUUCCAGGAAUUCAUGCCGAUUAAGGGCAAAAUCAACGAGAGUAGCUCGGAUUUCAGAGAUAAGAAGAACUGGACGAGCUCCUUCCAACUCUGGAUCUGCGAGGAAAGUAAAGAUACCAAAAACAUGAUAAGAUGAACUUUAAAGAGAAAUCAGUAUGUGAUUCUCGGAACGGUGGAGACGCGUCCCUGCCGGUAUUGGAACUAUACAGCUCCAAGGCAGAAGAUGAGACUGCCGCCGUGUUGUCUGACCUCUCUCUGUGCUGUACCGGAUCACUCAUGGCUUUGGGAGUCCGGCCAUCAAUAACUAUCCAGUUAGUUGCCAUAAGUGUACUUAAAAUCCCCGGAAGCAUCUCUGGUGGUGGCGCCUGGCAAACACUGUGGCUUGCAUUAGCAACAGGCUGCAGAUGAGGAGGUUCUGGUCUCAGGAUCUGCAUCGGCGGUUUGUGCUCGUGAUCGCUCCUUCUUGCUCAUGGUAAGACCUCAGUUGAAUCAAUUGCUAGGAGGCUGAUGGAUAGUUCCUGCAAGAUGAUAUUUAGUCCCACAUCUAAAAUUUCACAUUCUUCGAUUAGUAUAAAAUAUAACUAUUCAAUUUAUAAAACAUAACCCAUGGAAUGAAGUAAUAGGAUCGUAAGAUCUAGGAAAAUCCCCGGGUCAUCUGUCACAAUGAUGCGGUCGUGUGGUUUAUAUUCUUAUGGAUAAUUUAUUUUUUAAAUUCAAAAA
Long non-coding RNA from Zingiber officinale, 1335 nucleotides. RefSeq lists it as uncharacterized. The transcript is spliced from 2 exons. The record is from RefSeq and is a predicted model, not a curated record. NCBI's taxonomy places the organism in Eukaryota, Viridiplantae, Streptophyta, Magnoliopsida, Zingiberales, Zingiberaceae.